AGGAUUUUUAUUAUAAUUUAGUAUUUUUAAUUGCAGAUUAAAAGGUUUUAAAGUCUU
Molecule: transfer RNA, 57 nt
Filed under: Cucullanus robustus
Lineage: Eukaryota; Metazoa; Nematoda; Chromadorea; Rhabditida; Cucullanidae
Description: tRNA-Cys
Source: RNAcentral